AUUGAACGCUGGCGGCAUGCCUUACACAUGCAAGUCGAACGGCAGCGCGGACUUCGGUCUGGCGGCGAGUGGCGAACGGGUGAGUAAUACAUCGGAACGUACCCUGUUGUGGGGGAUAACUAGUCGAAAGAUUAGCUAAUACCGCAUACGACCUGAGGGUGUAAGUGGGGGAUCGCAAGGCCUCACGCAGCAGGAGCGGCCGAUGUCUGAUUAGCUAGUUGGUGGGGUAAAGGCCCACCAAGGCGACGAUCAGUAGCUGGUCUGAGAGGACGAUCAGCCACACUGGAACUGAGACACGGCCCAGACUCCUACGGGAGGCAGCAGUGGGGAAUUUUGGACAAUGGGGGCAACCCUGAUCCAGCAAUGCCGCGUGUGUGAAGAAGGCCUUCGGGUUGUAAAGCACUUUUGUCCGGAAAGAAAUCGCGCUGGUUAAUACCUGGCGUGGAUGACGGUACCGGAAGAAUAAGCACCGGCUAACUACGUG
Molecule: ribosomal RNA, 484 nt
Filed under: uncultured bacterium
Lineage: Bacteria
Description: partial 16S ribosomal RNA
Rfam family: Bacterial small subunit ribosomal RNA
Source: RNAcentral